RNAcentral lists this long non-coding RNA (1112 nucleotides) under Lonchura striata (white-rumped munia). RNAcentral's name for it is "domestica (Bengalese finch) lncRNA (ENSLSDG00000010992.1)". Lineage: Eukaryota; Metazoa; Chordata; Aves; Passeriformes; Estrildidae. The record is from RNAcentral.
CCAUCCCGGGAGCGCUCGCUCCCCGCCCGCCCCGCACGGUCGCACCCGCGGCCCCCGCUGUCCUCACCGGGCUGUUGGUGAGGCGUGAGCAGCGCGUGGCGUGUUCUCUCAAUGUGCCGUGUUUUGAUGAUUUUGUGUCAUAGGAUGAUUCUGCAGGGCGUGCCCGAGGAGGGGGGCUCGGCUGUCCCUGCGCCGUGCCCGGGGAGGCGAGGGCUGGGGAGGGGAGGUCAGUGCUUGGUGUGAGACAACGGAGCCCAUGGUUGGUUCUGCCUGUGUGUCUCCCCUCCCCGGGGGCUGUAAGAGCGUCGUCUCCUUAGCAACAUUUCCUGACUUGAUGUUGUGGUUCUUACUAUUGUAAAGGGUUGAAAUAAAGCUUCUAGAUGUUCCUCCUCAGGCUGCUGUGGCUCUGUGGGCCGGGCGGGGGGCGGCGGCACAGCCCGGGGCUCCUGAUGUGGUAAGGAGGGGCUGGAGGAAUUUGGGUGUCUCUGAUUUCAGCCACUGGAGAAUUCCCAUCCCUGGCUUUGCUCCGCAAGCCUGGGCUCAGAGGGGAAGGGGCUCUGGGCUGACAAGGGCCCUGUGGGAGCCCCGGUGCCCACGGCACAGCUGGAACAGCUGGCACAGCCAGAGGGUACCAGCACCUCCCGGAGGUGCCCUGGCCACUCGCACAGAUAAAGAAAAGGUUUUCCACCCUGGCUUGGCCCUGACCCGAGACCCCAGACAGGACCGGGAGCCAAGUUGCAGGUGCCCGUGCCUGGAGCAGCCGCUGCUCUGCCCGUCCCUGAGCGCUGCUGUGGAAGCAGCCCCAGCCCCGCUCAGCUCCCCCAGAACGGGCACAGCAGCACGGGGACAGCCUGGCUGGCUUUGGGUGGCUCUGGGACACGCUGGGCUGGUUUCUCCAGGCACCAGCAGCCCCAGGACAUCUCCCCCAGCAGCCCUCCCUCAGUGCCAGCCCCCGGUGCCCACGGCCACUGUCCCCUCGGGGUGGCUGGGGUCAGUGCGGGAGCUCCAGGGCAGCUCUGACCUCGCCCAGCAGAGCAGUUGCUGCUGCUCUUCCCUGCCCCAGGAAAGGCACAAAAUUCCAACCUUUGCAGAAAAAAAAUACAGUAAAAAAA